CUCGCAAGAGCAAAGCAGGGGACCUUCGGGCCUUGCGCUACCGGAUAUGCCCAGGUGGGUUAGCUAGUUGGUGAGGUAAGGGCUCACCAAGGCGACGAUCCCUAGCUGGUCUGAGAGGAUGAUCAGCCACACUGGAACUGAGACACGGUCCGGACUCCUACGGGAGGCAGCAGUGGGGAAUAUUGCACAAUGGGCGCAAGCCUGAUGCAGCCAUGCCGCGUGUAUGAAGAAGGCCUUCGGGUU
This 243-nucleotide ribosomal RNA is filed under the name uncultured Vibrio sp. RNAcentral describes it as "partial 16S ribosomal RNA". It matches the Rfam family "Bacterial small subunit ribosomal RNA", at positions 173 to 424 of the family's 1533-position model. The record is from RNAcentral. Lineage: Bacteria; Pseudomonadati; Pseudomonadota; Gammaproteobacteria; Vibrionales; Vibrionaceae.